UACGGAGGGUGCAAGCGUUAAUCGGAAUUACUGGGCGUAAAGCGUGCGCAGGCGGUUUGUUAAGUCCGCUGUGAAAUCCCCGAGCUCAACUCUGGGAAUUGCAGUGGAUACUGGCAAGCUGGAGUAUGGUAGAGGAAGGUGGAAUUCCCGGUGUAGCAGUGAAAUGCGUAGAGAUCGGGAGGAACACCAGUGGCGAAGGCGGCCUUCUGGACCAAUACUGACGCUCAUGCACGAAAGCGUGGGAGCGAACAGG
This 253-nucleotide ribosomal RNA is filed under the name uncultured bacterium. RNAcentral describes it as "partial 16S ribosomal RNA". It matches the Rfam family "Bacterial small subunit ribosomal RNA", at positions 524 to 776 of the family's 1533-position model. The record is from RNAcentral.